AAUGAACGCUGGCGGCCGGCCUAACACAUGCAAGUCGAACGAGUGGCGGCCGUGUGAGUAAUGUCUGGGAAACUGCUUGAUGGAGGGGGAUAACUACUGGAAACGGUAGUUAAUACCGCAUACAUUUGGCUGUGCCAAGAGGGGAUUAGCUAGUAGGUGGGGUAAAGGCUAACAGAGGCGACGAUCCCUAGCUGGUCUGAGAGGAUGACCAGCCAAACUGGAACUGAGACACGGUCCAGACUCCUACGGGAGGCAGCAGUGGGGAAGAUUGCACAAUGGGCGCAAUCCUGAUGCAGCCAUGCCGCGUGUAUGAAGAAGGCCUUCGGGUUGUAAAGUACUGUCAGCGGGGAGGCGUUACCCACAGAAGAAGCACCGGCUAACUCCGUGCCAGCCGCCGCGGUAAUUC
This 406-nucleotide ribosomal RNA is filed under the name uncultured bacterium. RNAcentral describes it as "partial 16S ribosomal RNA". It matches the Rfam family "Bacterial small subunit ribosomal RNA", at positions 29 to 526 of the family's 1533-position model. The record is from RNAcentral.